This 427-nucleotide ribosomal RNA is filed under the name uncultured prokaryote. RNAcentral describes it as "bacterial SSU rRNA". It matches the Rfam family "Bacterial small subunit ribosomal RNA", at positions 355 to 796 of the family's 1533-position model. The record is from RNAcentral.
UGGGGAAUUUUCCGCAAUGGGCGCAAGCCUGACGGAGCAAUACCGCGUGAGGGAGGAAGGCUUUUGGGUUGUAAACCUCUUUUUUCAAGGAAGAAGCAAGUGACGGUACUUGAAGAAUCAGCAUCGGCUAACUCCGUGCCAGCAGCCGCGGUAAUACGUAGGGGCCUAGCGUUGUCCGGAAUUAUUGGGCGUAAAGAGCUCGUAGGCGGCCCACCAAGUCGGAUGUGAAAUCUCAAGGCUCAACCUUGAAAUUGCAUCCGAUACUGAUGGGCUUGAGGCAGGUAGGGGAAGGUGGAAUUCCUGGUGUAGCGGUGAAAUGCGCAGAUAUCAGGAGGAACACCGGUGGCGAAGGCGGCCUUCUGGGCCUGUACUGACGCUGAGGAGCGAAAGCGUGGGGAGCAAACAGGAUUAGAUACCCGUGUAGUCC